UAGGGAAUCUUCGGCAAUGGACGCAAGUCUGACCGAGCAACGCCGCGUGAGUGAAGACGGUUUUCGGAUCGUAAAGCUCUGUUGUAGGGGAAGAACGUGUGUAAGAGUGGAAAGCUUACACAGUGACGGUACCCUACCAGAAAGGGACGGCUAACUACGUGCCAGCAGCCGCGGUAAUACGUAGGUCCCGAGCGUUGUCCGGAUUUAUUGGGCGUAAAGGGAGCGCAGGCGGUUUAGUAAGUCUGAAGUUAAAGGCAUUGGCUCAACCAAUGUAUGCUUUGGAAACUGUUAGACUUGAGUGCAGAAGGGGAGAGUGGAAUUCCAUGUGUAGCGGUGAAAUGCGUAGAUAUAUGGAGGAACACCGGUGGCGAAAGCGGCUCUCUGGUCUGUCACUGACGCUGAGGCUCGAAAGCGUGGGUAGCGAACAGGAUUAGAUACCCUGGUAGUCCACGCCGUAAACGCUGAGUGCUAGGUGUUAGGUCCUUUCCGGGACUUAGUGCCGACGCUAACGCAUUAAGCACUCCGCCUGGGGAGUACGACCGCAAGGUUG
RNAcentral lists this ribosomal RNA (550 nucleotides) under uncultured bacterium. RNAcentral's name for it is "bacterial SSU rRNA". It matches the Rfam family "Bacterial small subunit ribosomal RNA", at positions 355 to 896 of the family's 1533-position model. The record is from RNAcentral.